Molecule: ribosomal RNA, 492 nt
Filed under: uncultured bacterium
Lineage: Bacteria
Description: partial 16S ribosomal RNA
Rfam family: Bacterial small subunit ribosomal RNA
Source: RNAcentral
AGUGAACGCUGGCGGUAGGCCUAACACAUGCAAGUCGAACGGCAGCACAGUAAGAGCUUGCUCUUACGGGUGGCGAGUGGCGGACGGGUGAGGAAUACAUCGGAAUCUACUUUUUCGUGGGGGAUAACGUAGGGAAACUUACGCUAAUACCGCAUACGACCUACGGGUGAAAGCAGGGGAUCUUCGGACCUUGCGCGAUUGAAUGGGCCGAUGUCGGAUUAGCUAGUUGGCGGGGUAAAGGCCCACCAAGGCGACGAUCCGUAGCUGGUCUGAGAGGAUGAUCAGCCACACUGGAACUGAGACACGGUCCAGACUCCUACGGGAGGCAGCAGUGGGGAAUAUUGGACAAUGGGCGCAAGCCUGAUCCAGCCAUACCGCGUGGGUGAAGAAGGCCUUCGGGUUGUAAAGCCCUUUUGUUGUGAAAGAAAAGCAGCAGGUUAAUACCCCGCUGUUCUGACGGUACCCAAAGAAUAAGCACCGGCUAACUUCGUG